CCGGAAUUUGAAUUUUCUGUAAUUUUCACAUUUCACUAGUCUUCUUUGGACUAAAAGAAAAAAUCAUUAAAAAAUAAAAAAAAAACAUUCUAAGCUGGUGGGACUUACAAAAACAAAUGGCAGGCUGGAUUUGGCUUAUGUCACAUAGUUUGCAGACCAUGCUAUAGAUGAUAGUUUGACCAACAGGUAAUUUGGCCUUCCAGGAUCAGUUUGUUUCCUCGAACAACCCCGGGGAAUAAAACUUUUGUCAUCUGUGGGCGCAUUAAAAAACAAAACAAAACAAAACAAAACAAAACAAAACACCCAAGCCAAGUACUGCAUAUGUUGGUUGAAACAGAACCAAAUAAUUACCAUGUGACAAAAGAAUAGGAAUAAAAGUCCCUUUCUUUAUUGUUCAACUCUGGUGUACUACCCACAGGUAACAGCUGGGGUCCCUGUCCUCUAUGGUCUGAAGACACACCAGCCCAUCCUUCUUCCUCCCCAGAUGGCUGGACUACAUCUGCUUUGAGGAUCAAGCAGGAGACAGAGAUAAGCUGCCAGUUCCCCAAAUACAGAGUUGUACACUUUACGUCUUGAGAAUCAGACCUCCCACUGGUGGGAGCGCUUGCCCUUAACUGAUACACCAAGUAAGAAGGGAAUGGUUGUAUGUCUGAGCUGAACUGACAGGUGUCAAUGUUUCAUGAGACCUCUGGGUAGGAUCCCAUGAGGGAACCGUGGGCAAACCUUUCUUCCUGCCUCAACUUCCCCAGUCCCUCUGGCCUCAUUUGGGUCCCCAGCUGCUGGGGGGUAAGUUAUCUGGUCAGUCUAUAGGUUUGAUGUCUCCUAUGCUUUGUUUUGUUUUCUCUCUACUUUUCCUUUUGAUUUUCUGAGAGUGGACACUAAUUUAACUCUCAGCUUCCUCUUUUUUCCUUAGGGAAUCAAACCAGGUUAUUUUUGUUCAUGAGAUGGUGAAAUACACUGAAAGCAGUGAGGGGGGGGAAAGGCGUGAGAGAGAAAACGCCCGCUGCUUCCACUGGGAUCCUUGCUGGCUGUUCCUGAGUUUUCCAUGGAAAGCACUUAGACACUCAGAACAAAGGGAAGGAAGCACGAGCUCCUGCACAGAGAUGGGAAACAAAGGGGUAGUUCAACAGAGGAUGGCUCUGGAGGAUGGUGCAGGAACCGCGAAGGAGGAAGUGCUGAAGAGGUUGUGCUGCACAACCCUCCUGGACCUCCUGGAGCCUGAGACGUGA
RNAcentral lists this long non-coding RNA (1229 nucleotides) under Felis catus (domestic cat). RNAcentral's name for it is "lncRNA (ENSFCAG00000046163.2)". The record is from RNAcentral. Lineage: Eukaryota; Metazoa; Chordata; Mammalia; Carnivora; Felidae.